Molecule: ribosomal RNA, 490 nt
Filed under: uncultured bacterium
Lineage: Bacteria
Description: bacterial SSU rRNA
Rfam family: Bacterial small subunit ribosomal RNA
Source: RNAcentral
CGCUGGCGGCGUGCCUAACACAUGCAAGUCGAACGAAGCAUUUGGAGUUGAUCCCUUCGGGGUGACGCACCUUAUGACUUAGUGGCGGACGGGUGAGUAACACGUGAGCAACCUGCCUCUCAGAGUGGAAUAACAGUUGGAAACGGCUGCUAAUACCACAUAACGUUUUUGUGCCGCAUGACACUUCAACCAAAGAUUUAUCGCUGAGAGAUGGGCUCGCGUCCGAUUAGGUAGAUGGUGGGGUAACGGCCUACCAUGCCGACGAUCGGUAGCCGGACUGAGAGGUUGAUCGGCCACAUUGGGACUGAGACACGGCCCAGACUCCUACGGGAGGCAGCAGUGGGGGAUAUUGCACAAUGGGCGCAAAGCCUGAUGCAGCAACGCCGCGUGCGGGAAGACGGCCUUCGGGUUGUAAACCGCUGUCCUUGGGGAAGAAACAAAUGACGGUACCCAAGAAGGAAGCCACGGCUAACUACGUGCCAGCAGCCGC